CAGUAGCCACGGUAAUACAGAGGGUGCGAGCGUUAAUCGGAUUUACUGGGCGUAAAGCGUGCGUAGGCGGCUUCUUAAGUCGGAUGUGAAAUCCCUGAGCUUAACUUAGGAAUUGCAUUCGAUACUGGGAAGCUAGAGUAUGGGAGAGGAUGGUAGAAUUCCAGGUGUAGCGGUGAAAUGCGUAGAGAUCUGGAGGAAUACCAAUGGCGAAGGCAGCCAUCUGGCCUAAUACUGACGCUGAGGUACGAAAGCAUGGGGAGCAAACAGGAUUAGAUACCCCUGUAGUCCCUGUCUCUUAUAC
RNAcentral lists this ribosomal RNA (301 nucleotides) under uncultured bacterium. RNAcentral's name for it is "partial 16S ribosomal RNA". It matches the Rfam family "Bacterial small subunit ribosomal RNA", at positions 509 to 807 of the family's 1533-position model. The record is from RNAcentral.